Molecule: ribosomal RNA, 865 nt
Filed under: Flavobacteriaceae bacterium
Lineage: Bacteria; Pseudomonadati; Bacteroidota; Flavobacteriia; Flavobacteriales; Flavobacteriaceae
Description: bacterial SSU rRNA
Rfam family: Bacterial small subunit ribosomal RNA
Source: RNAcentral
UGCAGUCGAGGGGUAGAGUUCUUCGGAGCUUGAGACCGGCGCACGGGUGCGUAACGCGUAUGCAAUCUACCUUUUACAGAGGGAUAGCCCAGAGAAAUUUGGAUUAAUACCUCAUAGUAUAAUUGAAUGGCAUCAUUUAAUUAUUAAAGUCACAACGGUAAAAGAUGAGCAUGCGUCCCAUUAACUAGUUGGUAAGGUAACGGCUUACCAAGGCUACGAUGGGUAGGGGUCCUGAGAGGGAGAUCCCCCACACUGGUACUGAGACACGGACCAGACUCCUACGGGAGGCAGCAGUGAGGAAUAUUGGACAAUGGGCGCAAGCCUGAUCCAGCCAUGCCGCGUGCAGGAUGACGGUCCUAUGGAUUGUAAACUGCUUUUGUACAGGAAGAAACACUGGUUCGUGAACCAGCUUGACGGUACUGUAAGAAUAAGGAUCGGCUAACUCCGUGCCAGCAGCCGCGGUAAUACGGAGGAUCCAAGCGUUAUCCGGAAUCAUUGGGUUUAAAGGGUCCGUAGGCGGUUUGGUAAGUCAGUGGUGAAAGCCCAUCGCUCAACGGUGGAACGGCCAUUGAUACUGCUAGACUUGAAUUAUUAGGAAGUAACUAGAAUAUGUAGUGUAGCGGUGAAAUGCUUAGAGAUUACAUGGAAUACCAAUUGCGAAGGCAGGUUACUACUAAUAUAUUGACGCUGAUGGACGAAAGCGUGGGUAGCGAACAGGAUUAGAUACCCUGGUAGUCCACGCCGUAAACGAUGGAUACUAGCUGUUGGGCGCAAGUUCAGUGGCUAAGCGAAAGUGAUAAGUAUCCCACCUGGGGAGUACGUUCGCAAGAAUGAAACUCACAGAAAUUGACGGGGAGGGAAUUGC